AACGAACGCUGGCGGCGUGCCUAACACAUGCAAGUCGGAUGUGCCGCAAGGUGCAUGGCAGACGGGUGAGUAACGCGUAGGGAAUCUACCUUUUUGUGGGGAAUAACGCUCCGAAAGGAGUGGUAAUACCGCAUGAGACCGUGGCCUGGGAUGGUUACGGUGAAACCUGGGGACCGCAAGGCCUGGGGCAAAAAGAGGAUCCUGCGUCUGAUUAGCUAGUUGGCGGGGUAAUGGCCCACCAAGGCGACGAUCAGUAGCCGGCCUGAGAGGGUGAUCGGCCACACUGGAACUGAGACACGGUCCAGACUCCUACGGGAGGCAGCAGUGGGAAUUUUGCGCAAUGGACGAAAGUCUGACGCAGCAACGCCGCGUGGGUGAUGAAGGUCUUCGGACUGUAAAACCCUGUCGUCAGGGACGAAGGUGGCAGUGUUAAUAGCGCUGUUACUUAACGGUACCUGGAGAGGAAGCCCCCGGCUAACUCUGUGCCAGCAGCCGCGGUAA
Molecule: ribosomal RNA, 501 nt
Filed under: uncultured bacterium
Lineage: Bacteria
Description: bacterial SSU rRNA
Rfam family: Bacterial small subunit ribosomal RNA
Source: RNAcentral